RNAcentral lists this transfer RNA (95 nucleotides) under Paraburkholderia aspalathi. RNAcentral's name for it is "tRNA-Arg". The record is from RNAcentral. Lineage: Bacteria; Pseudomonadati; Pseudomonadota; Betaproteobacteria; Burkholderiales; Burkholderiaceae.
GCUUGUGUUUUCUGGACUGGAUCGCCGAAGCCGGCUCCGUCCCGGUCAUCGCGGCAGUGCUGGAAGAGGUGCCGUUCGCACCUGCAACGCAGGCA